This 503-nucleotide ribosomal RNA is filed under the name uncultured bacterium. RNAcentral describes it as "partial 16S ribosomal RNA". It matches the Rfam family "Bacterial small subunit ribosomal RNA", at positions 28 to 523 of the family's 1533-position model. The record is from RNAcentral.
GAUGAACGCUGGCGGCGUGCCUAAUACAUGCAAGUCGAACGAAGAUCUAGCUUGCUAGAUCUUAGUGGCGAACGGGUGAGUAAUACAUAAAUAAUCUGCCCAUAUGACUGGGAUAACUAUUGGAAACGAUAGCUAAUACCGGAUAGGUUGAUCGGAGGCUUCUCUGAUGAAUUAAAGUAGGAUUUCUACACAAAUGGAUGAGUUUAUGGCGCAUUAGUUAGUUGGUGGGGUAACGGCCUACCAAGACGAUGAUGCGUAGCCGACCUGAGAGGGUGACCGGCCACACUGGGACUGGGACACGGCCCAGACUCCUACGGGAGGCAGCAGUAGGGAAUUUUCGGCAAUGGGCGCAAGCCUGACCGAGCAACGCCGCGUGAGUGAUUAAGGCCUUCGGGUUGUAAAGCUCUGUUGUAAGGGAAGAACAUUCAGGAUAGGAAAUGAUCUUGAACUGACGGUACCUUACCAGAAAGCCACGGCUAACUACGUGCCAGCCGCCGCCGUAA